AGCAGCCGCGGUAAUUCCAGCUCCAAUAGCGUAUAUUAAAGUUGUUGCAGUUAAAAAGCUCGUAGUUGAAUUUCGGGAUCAGUGGGUCGGUCGUGCCACUGGUAUGCACUGGCCCUACUGGUUCCUCCUUCUUGAAGAACUGUAAUGCCAUUAAUUUGGUGUUGCAGGGAAACAGGACUGUUACUUUGAAAAAUUAGAGUGUUUAAAGCAGGCAAUCGCUUGAAUACAUUAGCAUGGAAUAAUGAAAUAGGACGAUCGAUCCUAUUUUGUUGGUUUCUAGGAUUGACGUAAUGAUUAAUAGGGAUAGUUGGGGGCAUUAGUAUUCAAUUGUCAGAGGUGAAAUUCUUGGAUUUAUUGAAGACUAACUACUGCGAAAGCAUUUGCCAAGGAUGUUUUCAUUAAUCAAGAACGAAAGUUAGGGGAUCGAAGACGAUCAGAUACCGUCGUAGU
Molecule: ribosomal RNA, 450 nt
Filed under: uncultured Glomus
Lineage: Eukaryota; Fungi; Glomeromycota; Glomeromycetes; Glomerales; Glomeraceae
Also listed under: 1 other name
Description: SSU rRNA
Rfam family: Eukaryotic small subunit ribosomal RNA
Source: RNAcentral